UACGUAGGGGGCAAGCGUUGUCCGGAUUUAUUGGGCGUAAAGAGCGUGUAGGCGGCUUUACAGGUCCGUUGUGAAAACUCGAGGCUCAACCUCGAGACGCCGGUGGAAACCGUAAAGCUAGAGUCCGGAAGAGGAGAGUGGAAUUCCUGGUGUAGCGGUGAAAUGCGCAGAUAUCAGGAGGAACACCGGUGGCGAAGGCGGGUCUCUGGGCCAUAACUGACGCUGAGGAGCGAAAGCGUGGGGAGCGAACAGG
Molecule: ribosomal RNA, 253 nt
Filed under: uncultured bacterium
Lineage: Bacteria
Description: partial 16S ribosomal RNA
Rfam family: Bacterial small subunit ribosomal RNA
Source: RNAcentral